AACGCAAAUUGCACUUCCUGGUAUUCCGGGAAGUAUGCCUGUUUGAGGGUCGUUUUAAAUUAAAUCGAUGUGUUGUUUUUUCGUGAUGACACGUCGGGGUUGGGUUAUCUUAGCUUUUUUUAGUUAAGAGACCUAAAAUUGACUUUUUUGCGCAUUCUGGACGUGUAAUUUUUUUAUCUGUCCUCGUUAUGCUCAAAUGAUUUCAUUAGGUGCGGUCAUGCUCAAUGUGAUCUAUAGUGCCUAUGAAUCUCGUUUUUCGACCUCAAAUCAGGUAGGGAUACCCGCUGAACUUAA
RNAcentral lists this unclassified non-coding RNA (294 nucleotides) under uncultured fungus. Its description in RNAcentral is "partial contains 5.8S ribosomal RNA, internal transcribed spacer 2, and large subunit ribosomal RNA". The stretch from base 1 to 52 matches the Rfam family "5.8S ribosomal RNA", at positions 103 to 154 of the family's 154-position model. The record is from RNAcentral. Lineage: Eukaryota; Fungi.